CAUGGCUCAGAUUGAACGCUGGCGGCAUGCCUAACACAUGCAAGUCGAACGGCAGCACAGCAGUAGCAAUACUGUGGGUGGCGAGUGGCGGACGGGUGAGUAAUGCAUCGGGAUCUACCCAAACGUGGGGGAUAACGUAGGGAAACUUACGCUAAUACCGCAUACGUCNUACGGGAGAAAGCGGGGGACCGAAAGGCCUCGCGCGGUUGGACGAACCGAUGUGCGAUUAGCUAGUUGGUAGGGUAAUGGCCUACCAAGGCGACGAUCGCUAGCUGGUCUGAGAGGAUGAUCAGCCACACUGGAACUGAGACACGGUCCAGACUCCUACGGGAGGCAGCAGUGGGGAUAUAUUGGACAAUGGGCGCAAGCCUGAUCCAGCAAUGCNGCGUGUGUGAAGAAGGCCUUCGGGUUGUAAAGCACUUUUAUCAGGAGCGAAAUACUACAGGUCUAAUAACCGGGUGGGCGUCUAACGGUACCCUAGGAAAUAAGCACCGGCUAACUUACNG
Molecule: ribosomal RNA, 506 nt
Filed under: bacterium CV14
Lineage: Bacteria
Description: bacterial SSU rRNA
Rfam family: Bacterial small subunit ribosomal RNA
Source: RNAcentral